Molecule: ribosomal RNA, 388 nt
Filed under: uncultured bacterium
Lineage: Bacteria
Description: bacterial SSU rRNA
Rfam family: Bacterial small subunit ribosomal RNA
Source: RNAcentral
GACGAACGCUGGCGGCGUGCUUAACACAUGCAAGUCGAGCGGUAAGGCCCUUUCGGGGGUACACGAGCGGCGAACGGGUGAGUAACACGUGGGUGACCUGCCCUCAGCUCUGGGAUAAGCCUGGGAAACUGGGUCUAAUACUGGAUAUGACUCCACGGUGCAUGUCGUGGGGUGGAAAGCCUUGUGCGGCUGAGGAUGGGCCCGCGGCCUAUCAGCUUGUUGGUGGGGUGANGGCCUACCAAGGCGACGACGGGUAGCCGGCCUGAGAGGGCGACCGGCCACACUGGGACUGAGACACGGCCCAGACUCCUACGGGAGGCAGCAGUGGGGAAUCUUGCGCAAUGGGCGAAAGCCUGACGCAGCAACGCCGCGUGGGGACGAAGGCCUU